AACGAACGCUGGCGGCAUGCCUAACACAUGCAAGUCGAACGAGACCUUCGGGUCUAGUGGCGCACGGGUGCGUAACGCGUGGGAACCUGCCCUUAGGUUCGGCAUAACUCCCCGAAAGGGGUGCUAAUACCGGAUAAUGUCUUCGGACCAAAGAUUUAUCGCCUUUGGAUGGGCCCGCGUUGGAUUAGCUAGUUGGUAGGGUAAAAGCCUUCCAAGGCGACGAUCCAUAGCUGGUCUGAGAGGAUGAUCAGCCACACUGGGACUGAGACACGGCCCAGACGCCUACGGGAGGCAGCAGUGGGGAAUAUUGGACAAUGGGCGAAAGCCUGAUCCAGCAAGGCCGCGUGAGUGAUGAAGGCCUUAGGGUUGUAAAGCUCUUUUACCCGGGAUGAUAAUGACAGUACCGGGAGAAUAAGCUCCGGCUAACUCCGUG
Molecule: ribosomal RNA, 433 nt
Filed under: uncultured bacterium
Lineage: Bacteria
Description: partial 16S ribosomal RNA
Rfam family: Bacterial small subunit ribosomal RNA
Source: RNAcentral